This 207-nucleotide ribosomal RNA is filed under the name uncultured bacterium. RNAcentral describes it as "partial 16S ribosomal RNA". It matches the Rfam family "Bacterial small subunit ribosomal RNA", at positions 568 to 774 of the family's 1533-position model. The record is from RNAcentral.
CGUGCAGGCGGGUUGGUAAGUCAGAUGUGAAAGCCCUGGGCUCAACCCAGGAAGUGCAUUUGAAACUGCCAUCCUUGAGUAUGGGAGAGGAGAGUGGAAUUCCCAAUGUAGAGGUGAAAUUCGCAGAUAUUGGGAGGAACACCCGUGGCGAAGGCGACUCUCUGGACCAAUACUGACGCUGAGACGCGAAAGCGUGGGGAGCAAACA